AGUGAACGCUGGCGGUAGGCCUAACACGUGCAAGUCGAACGGCAGCACAGUAAGAGCUUGCUCUUACGGGUGGCGAGUGGCGGACGGGUGAGGAAUACAUCGGAAUCUACUUUUUCGUGGGGGAUAACGUAGGGAAACUUACGCUAAUACCGCAUACGACCUACGGGUGAAAGCAGGGGAUCUUCGGACCUUGCGCGAUUGAAUGAGCCGAUGUCGGAUUAGCUAGUUGGCGGGGUAAAGGCCCACCAAGGCGACGAUCCGUAGCUGGCCUGAGAGGAUGAUCAGCCACACUGGAACUGAGACACGGUCCAGACUCCUACGGGAGGCAGCAGUGGGGAAUAUUGGACAAUGGGCGCAAGCCUGAUCCAGCCAUACCGCGUGGGUGAAGAAGGCCUUCGGGUUGUAAAGCCCUUUUGUUGGGAAAGAAAAGCAGCAGGUUAAUACCCCGCUGUUCUGACGGUACCCAAAGAAUAAGCACCGGCUAACUUCGUG
Molecule: ribosomal RNA, 492 nt
Filed under: uncultured bacterium
Lineage: Bacteria
Description: partial 16S ribosomal RNA
Rfam family: Bacterial small subunit ribosomal RNA
Source: RNAcentral